RNAcentral lists this long non-coding RNA (1286 nucleotides) under Populus trichocarpa (black cottonwood). RNAcentral describes it as "long non-coding RNA (PTRI_LNC000073)". The record is from RNAcentral. Lineage: Eukaryota; Viridiplantae; Streptophyta; Magnoliopsida; Malpighiales; Salicaceae.
CAGCUGCAUAUUAUAGCCUCUAGGCUCCAUUAUAUACACAUAUACUCCUAGACAUUUUUUCUGGACACGGCAUCUACAAAUCAAAAGCAUGACUGUGGAAAUGGAAGACUGGAUGGUGGGAUUCUCUCUUUAAAUUCCGAGACCUGAUUUCUCUAGCAACACUGGUCUCAAGAGUUGGAGGACCGCAUAUGAUGACACCCACAUCUGCAUAACCCCAGUGCUCCGAUAUGGAUCCGAAUAUUUCUACAAUUAGGAAAAAGCACAUAGAAUAAAAGAAGCAGCAAUUUGUUCAGUUUAAAUGAAGAGGACUUAUUUAAUACUUUUGCAGUAUAAACUAGGUACAAACUAUGUACGAUGACAAGCUUGUAGCCACCGUAAAUGCUAUUUACUCCUAGUAUAACGUUGUGAUCUGUCAGCUGAUUUGGAAAUGAUUUUGAAUAACGGAAUAUAAAAAAAGCUUAAAGUCUGUUAUGAUAAUUUCAUACUUCUAUUCACAAAAGAUGCAAAUCACACCCAUUAAAUGUAUGUCGUCAAAUCUUCCCUAUUGAGUAACACAUGCCAGACAAAAUCUAACAUUGCAUGGAAUCAUACCUUUGAAGUCUGGUCUUGAACCAUACUGAAUAGUGGUUAUACUAGUAUGGUUUUUCUGAAACAAAUUCACCGCAUCUUCAUUAUGCUGAACCAUGCCAGGCUUUAGCCUAUUUUCCUCGUAUUCUUCCCUGGCAGAAAUCUUCUUUUCCCAAAGAUGCCAUAAACCAACCACAAGACCCCCAAAGAUAACAACACUUGCAAGCAUACAUCCGAAAAAAAGGAGUCCUUUGUACCACCAAGUUGAUAUGCUACAAGGAUUUAUGUAAAAUAUAUACAAAAUACCCAGCGAAAUAACAAAGCCCACUGUAGACGAGAUGACGUACAGGCCAGACCAUAUACUGUCACCUGUACCAACCAAAACCGACAUGCCACAGCCCUUUGACAUGGGGCAAACAGAAGAAACUGUAACAUUAUGAAUAUCACCCUCCUCCUGUAAAUAACAAUAAUUUAGAGAUGGCAAAAUUGGAUAAUUUGAACAUGAAAGACAGAAAAACAUCUAGGUAAAGACAUGUAACACGAGCAUAUUCAAUAAAAAUAAUCUUACCAAUGGAGGAUCUGACUCUCGAGUAACAUAGAUGGAAAUCUCAAGAUUUAAUUUGUCAUAGAAAUAUGGACAAAUUGAUUCCAGGUCCAUCGUCGAGAGAAGAGGAAGUUCAUUUGAUCUUUUCACAGCCCAAACAAUCAAAAUAUUCCGU